This 272-nucleotide long non-coding RNA is filed under the name Hordeum vulgare. RNAcentral describes it as "long non-coding RNA (HVUL_LNC006615)". The record is from RNAcentral. Lineage: Eukaryota; Viridiplantae; Streptophyta; Magnoliopsida; Poales; Poaceae.
UUUUUCUCUUCUUCUCAUUCUUAUUUUUUUCUUAUUCUCUUAUUCUCUUCUUCUUCUCUUCUUCUUUACUUCUUCUCCUUCUUAUUUUUUUAUUCUCUUCUUCUUCUUCUUAUUUUUUUUUCUUCUCUUCUUCUUCUUCUUCUUCUUCUUCCUCUUUUUCUUCUUCUCCUCCUCCUCCUCCUACUCCUCUUCUUAUUCUCCUCUUCUUGUCCUUCUCCUCCUCCUCUUCUGCUCCUCCACCUAACUAACCAAGCUAACUAACUAACCUAACU